GUCGACGUGCGUGGCAUGUCAUUCGAGCGCAAAAGGUUAAUAAAUUGUGAACAUCUGGCACAACGAAACAUUGCAACAAAAACCUUGGUUGAAGCAAGAACACCAAACUGUGUCGUUUACAAUUUGCAGAGAAACAUCUUUGUGUGAAUACGAAACGGGGAAGAGUCAUGUUUACUGAUUAAAAGAGGAUGGCUUCCAUUACUAUUAUCGUGAUUUACGAAAGGAGCAACAACUUGAGUCGUAGACCCAUGAAAGGCGGUUAUAGGACUUUCGGUAUACAAUAUAAGGAUUGAUGAGAUAUAGGAAUGCCGUCAAACUAUCUGCGCUUUGGACGAAAUAGUUGCAUUCAACGGCGGAGGGCCCAGGUUCGAAUCCUGGCUAUGGUAUUUCUCCUUCGUUUUCUUCUGUAACAGAAGUUCUCACUUUGCCGUAUGGGUGGCCGAACAGGCUAAGGAGACGAAA
Frieseomelitta varia is the source of this 462-nucleotide long non-coding RNA. RefSeq lists it as uncharacterized. NCBI's taxonomy places the organism in Eukaryota, Metazoa, Arthropoda, Insecta, Hymenoptera, Apidae. The transcript is spliced from 2 exons. The record is from RefSeq and is a predicted model, not a curated record.